Molecule: small nuclear RNA, 104 nt
Organism: Callithrix jacchus (white-tufted-ear marmoset)
Lineage: Eukaryota; Metazoa; Chordata; Mammalia; Primates; Cebidae
Source: Ensembl
AUGCUCGCUUCAGCACAUAUACUAAAAUUGGAACAAUGCAGAGAAGAUUAGCACAGUCCCUGCACAAGGAUGACAGGCAAAUCCGUGAAGUGUUCCAUAUUUUC